RNAcentral lists this ribosomal RNA (297 nucleotides) under Gammaproteobacteria bacterium. RNAcentral describes it as "partial 23S ribosomal RNA". It matches the Rfam family "Bacterial large subunit ribosomal RNA", at positions 1 to 305 of the family's 2925-position model. Lineage: Bacteria; Pseudomonadati; Pseudomonadota; Gammaproteobacteria. The record is from RNAcentral.
UUUCUGGUCAAGCGGGAAAGUGCACAGGGUGGAUGCCUAGGCACGAGCCGGCGAUGAAGGACGUGGCAAGCUGCGAAAAGCCUCGGGGAGCUGCAAGCAAGCUUUGAUCCGGGGAUGUCCGAAUGGGGAAACCCGGCGGGGGUGAUGCCCCGUCAUCCGAAAGGGAGCCAACCCGGGGAACUGAAACAUCUAAGUACCCGGAGGAAGAGAAAUCAAAUGCGAGAUUCCCUGAGUAGCGGCGAGCGAAACGGGAAGAGCCCAAACCGGGAGCCCUUGCGGGCACCCGGGGUUGUGGGA